GGAGGAGGAGGUAAAGCGGAAAGCAGUGAGGCACAAGUGAACGAUUUCCUCUGUAGGCGUUGUGCCGAUAAGACGUGUGUGCAUCAAGAUGUGUCUGUCCGCCGCUUUGCCGCGAUAUACGAGUGCUGGUGUGUGUCAUUCUUCUCAUGGCAUUGUUGUUGUAGGUAUGAAGCAGUGUGUACACCAAGGGAGGACGUCUGGUCAUGCCGCCCAUCCCCUAAACAUGGGCAUAUGUCUCGGGCGUCAGUCACUCAGGCGAUGGAGCACGUCCCGCCACAAGUCUAUCACCGGUGCGGCGUCCCAACUUGGUGGAGCCACAUCUGUUUACCCAGGCGAACUCGUUAGCCACAGCAGCGUUCGAGUCCGACCUGUACCCGCUGAAGUGUGAGAAGCCCCGGCAUUCUGUUGCCGCUCCUCCUCAUCCGUGCAGGUCGUCCUCUUCAGAAGAGGACGCAGACCGCGGAGGCGUGCGGUCCGGCACAAGUCCUGCCACUACAGAAGGGAGAACCAAACCAGCGUGUCCAAACCCGCCCCUCCCAACCUGCAGCAAGAAACUGGUAGACGGCCGUCUGACAACACAAGGAGCCAUCCAGGGAAGAACAGACUGCCUCGCUUCAUCUGAACUAACAAAUAAAUGUUGCCAGUCACUCUUCUAAUGUCUUUAUUCCUUCUAAUGUGAAUGUACGCACAAAACUAAUACAUUUUGCCAAUCACUUUGCUUGUGAUGUUUUUAUUCCUGUCUAAUGUGAAUGUAUGCACAUAACCAAUACAUUUUGCUAUCACUUUGUAAUGUCAUUCCUUCCAUCUAAUGUGAAUGUGCCCACGUAAGUGUAAUGUUAUUCCUGUUCUGUGAUGUACCCACAUAACUGGUAUUAGUACUGAAUAAUAAAUCCAUUUUAAGAAAA
Molecule: unclassified non-coding RNA, 905 nt
Filed under: Portunus trituberculatus (swimming crab)
Lineage: Eukaryota; Metazoa; Arthropoda; Malacostraca; Decapoda; Portunidae
Description: uncharacterized LOC123499395, transcript variant X7
Source: RNAcentral